AAUUUUGAAACCCUGCAUUUCCAUUAUUUAUGUAUUAAUAAAGCAUGUUGAACUGUACGCUACAUGAUAUUAUUUUGUACGUGUCGUCAUUAAAAUUGAUAUAAAUGAAACUCAUAUUUUGAAAUAUUGUCAAAUAAUUUUAAAAGUUUUUCAAUGUUUUGUUCAACUAAUAUUCAAACUAAAGAGAGGCUUCGUCCGAAACAGAACACAUGCUUAAAAACUUGUAACAUUCAUUUCACAGUUCGUUUUAUACUACCAAUUGAACUUUCACAAACUUAAAAUCCCGGAAGUGCACAUCUCCUAGUAUGUUUGCUACGUCAACAGACCCGGGACUGAUUGUCGUUUGAAAAAUUUAAUGGGUAUUUGGCAACUUGCAUUAUUAAUUCAUCUGACCUUCGAUAUACGCUUUCAAUUAAAAAAUAAUCUAAUAAUCUAGGCUGUUUAUACUGUAUGAAUUUAGUUAUGUUUCCCAAUGUGUUACCCUGUGUGUGUCUGUGUCUGUGUGUCUGCGUUUGACCAUAAGUCCUCGGCCAAGUUCGAUAACUAGCCAAAUCGGCUCAGGCACUUUGGAAUUGUGGUCCUUGAAUUACCGAAAAUCGGCCUAUAGAUGAAUGUAGCCCAGACCCUUGUCAAAACGGGGCAACGUGUAAUGAUCAAGUCAAUUCCUACAGCUGCACGUGCAGUCCUGGAUACACUGGAUUUUACUGUGAGACAGACAUCUAUUACUUUAGCACCAGCCAAGCGACAUGGGACGACGCUAAGGCAGCAUGCGAGAUGAUGUCAAUGAAACUUGUGAUAAUAGACGAUCAAGAGGAAACUGACUUACUCCAAAGUCGUUUAACAGGUUUUCAGCACUGGAUUGGUUUGAGAUGUCAAAGUGGUACCAACUGUGCAUGGGUUGAUGGUAGAAACCUAGAAAGCGGAUUUAUUAAUUGGGCCCCCGGGGAACCGAAAGACAGGGAUUGUGUCUGGAUUGGCUAUUAUGGAAACAAAUGGGACGAUAACUAUUGUCACCUGGCCUAUAAAUAUAUUUGUGAAUUGUGAAUAUAUUACUUUAUAAAACACUACCUGUACAUAUGUAACAUUCUAAAUGGAGAAACACUGAUAUUCACGGAAAAUCCCAACAACUUCGUUACAAGAGGUGAUAAAUUAGGUCAAUUAUAUAUAUAUGUACGAAUUCAAAUUCCUCAACACUUUGAUGGCCAUUAAAGUAAUAGUACUUGUGCCGGAUGUAUAUAAUACUAUAUUAUGAACAAGAUAGACUGAAUGUAAAAUAAAAAUUUAACAAACUAGUUAUUUCGAUUCUUUUUACUUUUGUUUAAUUUUACCAUACAGUGAGUAUGCAUGCAUAUUUGUGUAACAUGUUUAACAAAUUCAUCAA
Long non-coding RNA from Mercenaria mercenaria, 1381 nucleotides. RefSeq lists it as uncharacterized. The transcript has 5 exons. The record is from RefSeq and is a predicted model, not a curated record. Lineage: Eukaryota; Metazoa; Mollusca; Bivalvia; Venerida; Veneridae.